RNAcentral lists this ribosomal RNA (253 nucleotides) under uncultured bacterium. RNAcentral describes it as "partial 16S ribosomal RNA". It matches the Rfam family "Bacterial small subunit ribosomal RNA", at positions 524 to 776 of the family's 1533-position model. The record is from RNAcentral.
UACAGAGGUGGCAAGCGUUGUUCGGAAUUACUGGGCGUAAAGGGCGCGUAGGCGGUCCCGUCAGUCCCUUGUGAAAUCCCCCGGCUUAACCUGGGAACUGCGUCUGAUACUGGGAGGCUAGAGUAUGGGAGAGGGAUGUAGAAUUCCAGGUGUAGCGGUGAAAUGCGUAGAUAUCUGGAGGAAUACCGGUGGCGAAGGCGGCAUCCUGGACCAUUACUGACGCUGAGGCGCGAAAGCUAGGGGAGCAAACGGG